UACGUAGGGUGCUAGCGUUGUCCGGAUUUAUUGGGCGUAAAGAGCGUGUAGGCGGUCAUGCAAGUCGGGUGUGAAAGCCCGGGGCUCAACCCCGGAAGUGCAUUCGAUACUGCGUGGCUAGAGUACUGGAGAGGAUGGUGGAAUUCUCGGUGUAGAGGUGAAAUUCGUAGAUAUCGAGAAGAACACCGGUGGCGAAGGCGGCCAUCUGGACAGAUACUGACGCUGAGACGCGAAAGCGUGGGGAGCAAACAGG
This 253-nucleotide ribosomal RNA is filed under the name uncultured bacterium. RNAcentral's name for it is "partial 16S ribosomal RNA". It matches the Rfam family "Bacterial small subunit ribosomal RNA", at positions 524 to 776 of the family's 1533-position model. The record is from RNAcentral.